Molecule: ribosomal RNA, 253 nt
Filed under: uncultured bacterium
Lineage: Bacteria
Description: partial 16S ribosomal RNA
Rfam family: Bacterial small subunit ribosomal RNA
Source: RNAcentral
UACAGAGGUCUCAAGCGUUGUUCGGAUUCAUUGGGCGUAAAGUGUGCGUAGGUGGCGGGGCAAGUCUGGUGUGAAAUCCCGGGGCUCAACCCCGGAACUGCACUGGAUACUGCCUUGCUAGAGCACUGGAGAGGGAACUGGAAUUUACGGUGUAGCAGUGAAAUGCGUAGAUAUCGUAAGGAAGACCAGUGGCGAAGGCGAGUUCCUGGACAGUUGCUGACACUGAGGCACGAAGGCUAGGGGAGCAAACGGG